RNAcentral lists this ribosomal RNA (254 nucleotides) under uncultured bacterium. RNAcentral describes it as "partial 16S ribosomal RNA". It matches the Rfam family "Bacterial small subunit ribosomal RNA", at positions 524 to 776 of the family's 1533-position model. The record is from RNAcentral.
UACAGAGGUCCCAAGCGUUGUUCGGAUUCACUGGGCGUAAAGGGUGCGUAGGCGGUCGGGUAAGUCUGAUGUGAAAUCUCGACAGCCUUAACUGUGAAACUGCAUUGGAUACUAUUCGGCUUGAGAGUUGGAGGGGGGACUGGAAUUCUUGGUGUAGCAGUGAAAUGCGUAGAUAUCAAGAGGAACACCAGUGGCGAAGGCGAGUCCCUGGACAACUUCUGACGCUGAGGCACGAAAGCUAGGGAGCAAACAGG